RNAcentral lists this microRNA precursor (145 nucleotides) under Paramuricea clavata. Lineage: Eukaryota; Metazoa; Cnidaria; Anthozoa; Malacalcyonacea; Plexauridae. The record is from RNAcentral.
AGAAGCUAGGGAGGGGAUGCGAAGGCGAGAGAAAGAGAGCGAGGAAAAAUGGGAGGGGCGAGAAAGAAAUAGCUAUUUCUUUUUCGCCCCUCCCAUUUUUCCUCGCUCUCUUUCUCUCGCCUUCGCAUCCCCCCCCCCCUAGUUU